AGAAGUUGUGAGGACAAGAAAAAGCUUCUAACUUUUUAUAGGUGGUUCGACUCCAUUAACUUCUU
This 65-nucleotide transfer RNA is filed under the name Ozobranchus jantseanus. Its description in RNAcentral is "tRNA-Ser". The record is from RNAcentral. Lineage: Eukaryota; Metazoa; Annelida; Clitellata; Hirudinida; Ozobranchidae.